GCCGGGGUGGCGAAAUUGGCAGACGCAGGAGACUUAAAAUCUCCCGGAGCAAUCCUUGUGGGUUCGAGUCCCAUCCCCGGUACCA
RNAcentral lists this transfer RNA (85 nucleotides) under Victivallales bacterium. RNAcentral describes it as "tRNA-Leu". It matches the Rfam family "tRNA". Rfam says of the family: Transfer RNA (tRNA) molecules are approximately 80 nucleotides in length. Their secondary structure includes four short double-helical elements and three loops (D, anti-codon, and T loops). The record is from RNAcentral. Lineage: Bacteria; Pseudomonadati; Lentisphaerota; Lentisphaeria; Victivallales.